ACCACACUUUCUCCCAUUACCUUACAUAACUUUCACCACACUUUCUACUGUUAUAUUACAUAACUUUCACCACACUUUCUCCCAUUACCUUACAUAACUUUCACCACACUUUCUCCCAUUACCUUACAUAUUUUUCACCACACUUUCUCCCAUUACCUUACAUAACUUUUACCACACUUUCUACCAUUACCUUACAUAACUUUCACCACACUUUCUACCAUUACCUUACAUAACUUUUACCACACUUUCUACCAUUACCUUACAUAACUUUCACCACACUUUCUCUCAUUACCUUGCAUAACUUUCGCCACACUUUCUACCAUUACCUUACAUAACUUUCACCACACUUUCUACCAUUACCUUACAUGACUUUCACCACACUUUCUACCAUUACCUUACAUAACUUUCACCACACUUUCUACCAUUACCUUACAUAACUUUCACCACACUUUCUCUCAUUACCUAACAUAACUUUCACCACACUUUCUACCAUUACCCUACAUAACUUUCACCACACUUUCUACCAUUACCUUACAUAACUUUCACCACUUUCUACCAUUACCUUACUUAACUUUCACCACACUUUCUCCCAUUACCUUACUUAACUUUCACCACACUUUCUCCCAUUACCUUACAUAACUUUCACCAUAAUUUCUCCCAUUCGUUGAGCAUAUUUACAUCCAUUGACCAAUACUACAACGACAAGGUAACGGAAAUAAGUCGAUUGGAAUGUUGAUAUAUUUGAGGAUAGAUCAAUGCCGUUAAUGGAUAUGAUGAGAUCUACAUAAAACCGCGUUGGUUACACAGCCAGAGAUAUUAAGUAGACCUUAGGUGGUAGGUUGUAGUGUAGGUCAAUAAUGUUAUCUGUUGUGUGAUAGAUUUGUGUCUUUUCUUCUUAACUAAACAUGUGGGAGACAUUUUUACUGUACACUAUGCCAAACCGGGUAAGGGGUUUGGCGUCACUGUCGGGCGCCACGAGACGGCCGGACAUCAAACACACGACGUGGGGGACCUUGUGACAGCCAUCAGUCAUACACGCUGACCCUGGCGCCCGAUACUGACCCUUAUAAUAAUAAAGCUUAUAUUCAACCCUGUAGUAUUGUAGUCAAGUUUAGGAUAGCGCAUAGAGUAUUAGCUAACACUACUAACCAAUUUGCUUAGAGAUAAACUUUUCUCCAGCUACGCCUCUCUGUGUACCGUACAAUAUUUAUCCAUAGAAUAGUCCGUGUGAUCUAUUUUAAUCUCGUCCGGCACUUACAUCAUUACCACACAUUAAUUAAAAGGUUUACUUAAUGAUGGCAAAAUCUUGGAGUAAAUUUGUAAUCCAGUCAAAGAUAUACGUUGACGGUUGUUGCUAUUUAUCCUCAAAAUGUCAUGUAGAAGGAGUUGACACGAGGUUUAGAUAGUGACAUAGGGUGAUUAUUUUUGGGGGUUAAUCGAGGGUUCUUAGUUUUAUUGACAUUAUUAAAAUGUUAGUAAGAGAAAGUUUUUUCACUCCUAACUUAGUCACUUUUAGGUUAGUUUCACCCUGAGUCACUUAAUCGAGGUUAAUUUCACCCUGAGUCACUUAAUCGAGGUUAAUUUCGCCCUGAAUCACUUAAUCGAGGUUAAUUUCACCCCAAGUCACUUAAUCGAGGUUAAUUUCACCCCGAGUCACUUAAUCGAGGUUAAUUUCACCCCGAGUCAUUAAAUCAAGGUUAAUUUCACCUUGAGUCACUUAAUCGAAGUUAAUUUCACCCGGAGUCGCUUAAUCGAGGUUAAUUUCGCCCCGAGUCACUUAAUCGAGGUUAAUUUCGCCCCGAGUCACUUAAUCGAGGUUAAUUUUACCUUGCGUCACUUAAUCGAAGUUAAUUUCACCCUGAGUCACUUAAUCGAAGUUAAUUUCACCUUGAGUCACUUUAUCGAGGUUAAUUUAACCCUGAGUCACUAUAUUGAGGUUAAAUUCACCAUCUGAAGUAACAUAAUCAGUUUACCCAAGUUGAAAUAUUAUUGCAAAAGGGAAUUUUUUUUAUAAAGUAAUCCGAUAGUAUAAAGCGUUACUUAGUUAUCCAGUUUAUUCACGUACAGUUAUCCAGGUAAUUCACGUACAGUUAUCCAGUUAAUUCAUGUACAGUUAUCCAGUUAAUUCACGUAUAGUUAUCCAGUUAAUUCACGUACAGUUAUCCAGUUAAUUCACGUACAGUUAUCCAGUUAAUUCACGUAUAGUUAUCCAGUUAAUUCACGUACAGUUAUCCAGUUAAUUCACGUACAGUUAUCCAGUUAAUCCACGUACAGUUAUCCAGGUAAUUCACGUACAGUUAUCCAGUUAAUUCACGUACAGUUAUCCAGUUAAACACGUACAGUUAUCCAGUUAAUUCACGUACAGUUAUCCAGUUAAUUCACGUACAGUUAUCCAGUUAAUUCACGUACAGUUAUCCAGUUAAUUCACGUACAGUUAUCCAGUUAAUUCACGUACAGUUAUCCAGUUAAUUCAUGUACAGUUAUCCAGUUAAACACGUACAGUUAUCCAGUUAAUUCACGUACAGUUAUCCAGUUAAUUCACGUACAGUUAUCCAGUUAAACACGUACAGUUAUCCAGUUAAUUCACGUACAGUUAUCCAGGUAAUUCACGUACAGUUAUCCAGUUAAUUCACGUACAGUUAUCCAGUUAAUUCACGUACAGUUAUCCAGGUAAUUCACGUACAGUUAUCCAGUUAAUUUACGUACAGUUAUCCAGUUAGCAUCUUACAAUUGCUAUAAUUUGUUAUGUAAUUGUUAUAGAAAAUAAUCCUUGGCUAUAGUACUGUGUGAAAGUUAUAUAAUUGGUUAUAGUCUGUAUGUGAAAGUUGUAGUGUGUGUGAAAGUUAUAGUGUGUGAAAGUUAUAUAAUUGGUUAUAGUGUGUGUGGAAGUUAUAGUGUGUGUGAAAGUUAUAUAAUUGGUUAUAGUGUGUGUGGAAGUUAUAGUGUGUGGAAGUUAUAUAAUUGGUUAUUGUGUGUGUGGAAGUUAUAGUGUGUGUGAAAGUUAUAUAAUUGGUUAUAGUGUGUGUGGAAGUUAUAGUGUGUGAAAGUUAUAUAAUUGGUUAUAGUCUGUAUGUGAAAGUUGUAGUGUGUGUGAAAGUUAUAUAAUUAAUUGGUUAUAGUGUGUGUGGAAGUUAUAUAAUUGGUUAUAGUGUGUGUGGAAGUUAUAGUACUGUGUGAAAGUUAUAUAAUUGGUUAUAGUGUGUGUGGAAGUCAUAGUGUGUGUGAAAGUUAUAUAAUUGGUUAUAGUGUAUCUAUUUUCAAUGAUAAUUCCUUCCGGUGUUUUGAUAACCUAACCCUAGCCGAGCCUAACCUAGCCUAACCUAACACGCACUUAACCUAACCUAACCCUAGCCUAGCCUAACCUAACACGUACUUAACCUAACAUAACCUUAACAUCACUUACCUUACUUAACACUAACCUACGCCCAUACAAUUUACAAAGGUAUCUUUCUUCGCUGCUCUGGUGAUGUAGAAUUUGUUACUUUAUUCUGCCCUACUUCAUAAUUAUCUACCUUACACAAACUGUUUUCUUCUGGUGAUAUUAUUAAAAAAAAAAAGAAGUAUUGUAUAUUAUUUAUAACUUUUAAAACUGUUAGUUGUAGAAUGUGGCUGUAGACAUGAAAGUGUGUUAUAGUAUUCUAGAAAUUCAUGCCAAGUUAAUUAUCUUGUGAAACAUUGCAAAUCUGGUAUAGAUCACGAGACAUAAUUACAUCUGUUUGUAAACUGGCUGACGACUUUGGGAGAGAUAGCCGGAAUGACUCGACUAACUAGACAGUUAGUUGUGGUUGUUCGGUUAUCACUCGUGCCUGCUUGCACAUGGUUGUAGAAGGUCAAGCAAUUGCCUUAAGAAAACUACAGAACUAUGCUGUUAAACCCUCACCCACCCUUUAAAAAUACAAGUGUUAUGUGCGAAAUUUCCACUGGUAAUUGUUGCAGUUAUUUACCUGUACUAGUUGCAUCUGUUAAUGGUAGAAAGUAUACUGCUUCUGUUAAUGGUAGGAGGUAUACUGCUUCUGUUAAUGGUAGGAGGUAUACUGCUUCUGUUAAUGGUAGGAGGUAUACUGCUUCCAUUAAUAGUACUGUAUACCACCCUACUAUAAAACAGCGAUUAUAUUCUCUAUAAGGUGUUACUCCCUCUGUUACAUUAGUCACCUAACCCCAAAAAAUCGGAUCUUCGUAAACAGUGGAGAUGAGAUGUGCUUAAUACAGGUUUGUGGGGAAUAGAUUAAAAUGGAGAAAAAACAAGUAUCAUCAUUUAACCCCCCUGUUUCACCUUGCUCAUACAGGGGCCAGGGUAUGUACAGUGCUUAAAGAAAUUUAUCCUUAUUUGUUGUAUAUUUUAUAUUAUCUCAUUUAGUUAUUUAUUUUAGGAACCUGUGCUUGUAUUAUUGAAAUUUGUGUAUAUUCUACGUUUGUGUGUUUGGUUAUUAAUGAUGAUAACCCUGUAUAAUUGGUUUGUAUAAUUAUAACUUGUUUUAAUAGGUAUAGUUAAAAGUGUCAAUGAUAAAUAUUUUGCAGCAAUUGACAGGUUUUUUGUGUUAUUGUUAUUGCUACCUUCUCCUGGCCUUGAUGUGUUGGGCGUCACAGUCUAUGGUGGGGUCAACAUUUUCAUUAAAUCAGUAAAUAAAAAUAUCAUGAUA
This 4640-nucleotide unclassified non-coding RNA is filed under the name Homarus americanus (American lobster). RNAcentral's name for it is "uncharacterized LOC121868877, transcript variant X1". The record is from RNAcentral. Lineage: Eukaryota; Metazoa; Arthropoda; Malacostraca; Decapoda; Nephropidae.